UACGUAGGGUGCAAGCGUUGUCCGGAAUUAUUGGGCGUAAAGAGCUCGUAGGCGGUUUGUCACGUCGGAUGUGAAACCCUGAGGCUCAACCUCAGGCCUGCAUUCGAUACGGGCAGACUAGAAUUCGGCAGGGGAGACUGGAAUUCCUGGUGUAGCGGUGAAAUGCGCAGAUAUCAGGAGGAACACCCGUAGCGAAGGCGGCACUCUGGGCCGAUACUGACACUGAGGAGCGAAAGCGUGGGGAGCGAACAGG
This 253-nucleotide ribosomal RNA is filed under the name uncultured bacterium. RNAcentral's name for it is "partial 16S ribosomal RNA". It matches the Rfam family "Bacterial small subunit ribosomal RNA", at positions 524 to 776 of the family's 1533-position model. The record is from RNAcentral.